AUUGAACGCUGGCGGCAGGCCUAACACAUGCAAGUCGAGCGAGCGGCGGACGGGUGAGUAAUGUCUGGGAAACUGCCUGAUGGAGGGGGAUAACUACUGGAAACGGUAGCUAAUACCGCAUACCAUCAGAUGUGCCCAGAUGGGAUGAGCUAGUAGGUGGGGUAACGGCUUACCAAGGCAACGAUGCCUAGCCGACCUGAGAGGGUGAUCGGCCACACUGGAACUGAGACACGGUCCAGACUCCUACGGGAGGCAGCAGUGGGGAAUCUUCCGCAAUGGGCGAAAGCCUGAUGGAGCAAUGCCGCGUGAGUGAAGAAGGUCUUCGGAUUGUAAAGCACUUUAAGUUGGGAGGCGUUACCAACAGAAUAAGCACCGGCUAACUCCGUGCCAGCCGCCGCGGUAAUUC
Molecule: ribosomal RNA, 406 nt
Filed under: uncultured bacterium
Lineage: Bacteria
Description: partial 16S ribosomal RNA
Rfam family: Bacterial small subunit ribosomal RNA
Source: RNAcentral